RNAcentral lists this ribosomal RNA (501 nucleotides) under Enterobacter sp. RNAcentral's name for it is "bacterial SSU rRNA". It matches the Rfam family "Bacterial small subunit ribosomal RNA", at positions 925 to 1429 of the family's 1533-position model. Lineage: Bacteria; Pseudomonadati; Pseudomonadota; Gammaproteobacteria; Enterobacterales; Enterobacteriaceae. The record is from RNAcentral.
ACAAGCGGUGGAGCAUGUGGUUUAAUUUGAAGCAACGCGAAGAACCUUACCUAGUUUUGACAUCCUUAGAAAACCCCAGAGAUAGGGUUUUUCCUUCGGGAACUAGAAGACCCAGUGGGUCAUUGUUUCGUCAGGUCGUGUUGUGAGAAGGUUGGGUUAAUUCCGCCACGAGGGCCAACCUUGAUUUUAAUUGCCCUUAAUUAAUUGGGGAAUUCAAAGGAGACUCCCAGUGAAAAACUGGAGGAAGGGGGGGAGGACGUCAAUUCAUCAUGCCCCUAUGGCCUAGGGCUACACACGUGUUACAAUGGCGGAUACAAAGAGAAGCAACCCCGGAGGGGCAAGCGAUCUUCAUAAACCAUUUUCUAGUCCGGAUUGGAGUUUGCAAUUGGCCUCCAUGAAGUGGGAAUCGUAGUAAUUGCGGGAUAAGAAUGCCGCGGUGAAUAGUUUCCCGGCCUUGGUACACACCCCCGUUACACCACAUGGGAGUGGGACCAAAAGAAG